RNAcentral lists this ribosomal RNA (322 nucleotides) under uncultured eukaryote. RNAcentral's name for it is "partial 18S ribosomal RNA". It matches the Rfam family "Eukaryotic small subunit ribosomal RNA", at positions 1470 to 1796 of the family's 1831-position model. The record is from RNAcentral.
CCCUUAGAUGUUCUGGGCUGCACGCGCGCUACACUGAUGCGCUCAACGAGUUUAUGACCUUGCCUGGAAAGGUUGGGUAAUCUUCUUAAAACGCAUCGUGAUGGGGAUAGAUUAUUGCAAUUAUUAAUCUUCAACGAGGAAUUCCUAGUAAGCGCGAGUCAUCAGCUCGUGCUGAUUACGUCCCUGCCCUUUGUACACACCGCCCGUCGCUCCUACCGAUUGAAUGGUCCGGUGAAAUCUCGGGACGGCGGCUUGGUCGCUUGCGUCCGACUGCUGAAACUUGAUUAAACCAUAUCAUUUAGAGGAAGGUGAAGUCGUAACA